Molecule: ribosomal RNA, 496 nt
Filed under: uncultured bacterium
Lineage: Bacteria
Description: partial 16S ribosomal RNA
Rfam family: Bacterial small subunit ribosomal RNA
Source: RNAcentral
AUGAACGCUGGCGGCGUGCCUAAUACAUGCAAGUCGAGCGAACAGACGAGGAGCUUGCUCCUCUGACGUUAGCGGCGGACGGGUGAGUAACACGUGGAUAACCUACCUAUAAGACUGGGAUAACUUCGGGAAACCGGAGCUAAUACCCGAUAAUAUAUUGAACCGCAUGGUUCAAUAGUGAAAGACGGUUUUGCUGUCACUUAUAGAUGGAUCCGCGCCGCAUUAGCUAGUUGGUAAGGUAACGGCUUACCAAGGCGACGAUGCGUAGCCGACCUGAGAGGGUGAUCGGCCACACUGGAACUGAGACACGGUCCAGACUCCUACGGGAGGCAGCAGUAGGGAAUCUUCCGCAAUGGGCGAAAGCCUGACGGAGCAACGCCGCGUGAGUGAUGAAGGUCUUCGGAUCGUAAAACUCUGUUAUUAGGGAAGAACAAAUGUGUAAGUAACUAUGCACGUCUUGACGGUACCUAAUCAGAAAGCCACGGCUAACUACGUG